This 433-nucleotide ribosomal RNA is filed under the name uncultured bacterium. RNAcentral describes it as "partial 16S ribosomal RNA". It matches the Rfam family "Bacterial small subunit ribosomal RNA", at positions 29 to 507 of the family's 1533-position model. The record is from RNAcentral.
AACGAACGCUGGCGGCAUGCCUAACACAUGCAAGUCGAACGAGACCUUCGGGUCUAGUGGCGCACGGGUGCGUAACGCGUGGGAACCUGCCCUUAGGUUCGGAAUAACUCCCUGAAAGGGGUGCUAAUACCGGAUAAUGUCUUCGGACCAAAGAUUUAUCGCCUUUGGAUGGGCCCGCGUUGGAUUAGCUAGUUGGUAGGGUAAAAGCCUACCAAGGCGACGAUCCAUAGCUGGUCUGAGAGGAUGAUCAGCCACACUGGGACUGAGACACGGCCCAGACCCCUACGGGAGGCAGCAGUGGGGAAUAUUGGACAAUGGGCGAAAGCCUGAUCCAGCAAUGCCGCGUGAGUGAUGAAGGCCUUAGGGUUGUAAAGCUCUUUUACCCGGGAUGAUAAUGACAGUACCGGGAGAAUAAGCUCCGGCUAACUCCGUG